RNAcentral lists this ribosomal RNA (335 nucleotides) under Staphylococcus aureus. RNAcentral describes it as "bacterial SSU rRNA". It matches the Rfam family "Bacterial small subunit ribosomal RNA", at positions 60 to 384 of the family's 1533-position model. The record is from RNAcentral. Lineage: Bacteria; Bacillati; Bacillota; Bacilli; Caryophanales; Staphylococcaceae.
AGUCGAGCGAACGGACGAGAAGCUUGCUUCUCUGAUGUUAGCGGCGGACGGGUGAGUAACACGUGGAUAACCUACCUAUAAGACUGGGAUAACUUCGGGAAACCGGAGCUAAUACCGGAUAAUAUUUUGAACCGCAUGGUUCAAAAGUGAAAGACGGUCUUGCUGUCACUUAUAGAUGGAUCCGCGCUGCAUUAGCUAGUUGGUAAGGUAACGGCUUACCAAGGCAACGAUGCAUAGCCGACCUGAGAGGGUGAUCGGCCACACUGGAACUGAGACACGGUCCAGACUCCUACGGGAGGCAGCAGUAGGGAAUCUUCCGCAAUGGGCGAAAGCCU